Molecule: ribosomal RNA, 495 nt
Filed under: uncultured bacterium
Lineage: Bacteria
Description: partial 16S ribosomal RNA
Rfam family: Bacterial small subunit ribosomal RNA
Source: RNAcentral
GACGAACGCUGGCGGCGUGCCUAAUACAUGCCAGUAGAACGCUGAAGGAGGAGCUUGCUUCUCUGGAUGAGUUGCGAACGGGUGAGUAGCGCGUAGGUAACCUGCCUGGUAGCGGGGGAUAACUAUUGGAAACGAUAGCUAAUACCGCAUAAGAGUAGAUGUUGCAUGACAUUUGCUUAAAAGGUGCAAUUGCAUCACUACCAGAUGGACCUGCGUUGUAUUAGCUAGUUGGUGGGGUAACGGCUCACCAAGGCGACGAUACAUAGCCGACCUGAGAGGGUGAUCGGCCACACUGGGACUGAGACACGGCCCAGACUCCUACGGGAGGCAGCAGUAGGGAAUCUUCGGCAAUGGACGGAAGUCUGACCGAGCAACGCCGCGUGAGUGAAGAAGGUUUUCGGAUCGUAAAGCUCUGUUGUAAGAGAAGAACGAGGGUGAGAGUGGAAAGUUCACACUGUGACGGUAUCUUACCAGAAAGGGACGGCUAACUACGUG